UAGGGAAUCUUCGGCAAUGGACGGAAGUCUGACCGAGCAACGCCGCGUGAGUGAAGAGGGUUUUCGGAUCGUAAAGCUCUGUUGUAAGAGAAGAACGAGUGUGAGAGUGGAAAGUUCACACUGUGACGGUAACUUACCAGAAAGGGACGGCUAACUACGUGCCAGCAGCCGCGGUAAUACGUAGGUCCCGAGCGUUAUCCGGAUUUAUUGGGCGUAAAGCGAGCGCAGGCGGUUAGAUAAGUCUGAAGUUAAAGGCUGUGGCUUAACCAUAGUACGCUUUGGAAACUGUUUAACUUGAGUGCAGAAGGGGAGAGUGGAAUUCCAUGUGUAGCGGUGAAAUGCGUAGAUAUAUGGAGGAACACCGGUGGCGAAAGCGGCUCUCUGGUCUGUAACUGACGCUGAGGCUCGAAAGCGUGGGGAGCAAACAGGAUUAGAUACCCUGGUAGUCCACGCCGUAAACGAUGAGCGCUAGGUGUUGGGUCCUUUCCGGGACUCAGUGCCGCAGCUAACGCAUUAAGCACUCCGCCUGGGGAGUACGACCGCAAGGUUG
Molecule: ribosomal RNA, 550 nt
Filed under: uncultured bacterium
Lineage: Bacteria
Description: bacterial SSU rRNA
Rfam family: Bacterial small subunit ribosomal RNA
Source: RNAcentral